RNAcentral lists this ribosomal RNA (253 nucleotides) under uncultured bacterium. RNAcentral describes it as "partial 16S ribosomal RNA". It matches the Rfam family "Bacterial small subunit ribosomal RNA", at positions 524 to 776 of the family's 1533-position model. The record is from RNAcentral.
UACGUAGGGGGCAAGCGUUAUCCGGAUUUACUGGGUGUAAAGGGAGCGUAGGCGGCGAUGCAAGUCAGAAGUGAAAGCCCGGGGCUCAACUCCGGGACUGCUUUUGAAACUGUAUGGCUAGAUUGCAGGAGGGGUAAGUGGAAUUCCUAGUGUAGCGGUGAAAUGCGUAGAUAUUAGGAGGAACACCAGUGGCGAAGGCGGCUUACUGGACUGUAACUGACGUUGAGGCUCGAAAGCGUGGGAAGCAAACAGG